This 37770-nucleotide long non-coding RNA is filed under the name Volvox carteri. RNAcentral describes it as "long non-coding RNA (VCAR_LNC000888)". The record is from RNAcentral. Lineage: Eukaryota; Viridiplantae; Chlorophyta; Chlorophyceae; Chlamydomonadales; Volvocaceae.
AAGGGUACAAAUUUUCUUAUCUCGACACAGGGCACUGAGGCCAAACGUGGCCCGUUUCCCAGCUGCUAGUAGUUGUUUGGUGCAGGCUGAGAGCUGCGUGCCUGGGCCGUAAUGUAGCCCGAGUUAUUGUGCCGUCUCGUUACCCGUCAGUACCCUCAAACACGCCCCACAUAACCGGUACUCGGCUUCCACAAGGCUGCUCCCGUGCUGUGCCCCAAAAAAUGAGGACUUCACACUUGGCUGCGUUGGCGCCCAUUCCCGUCGCCUUGCAAUAGGCCUCAAGGAGUCCGAGUAAGCUUACACCCUGCUCACGGAGGAUGUUCCAUCGGUCAGGAAGGCGCACACGGCAGUCGGUAUCGUGGGCCUGGAUGUAGUGAACGAACACCUCAAUGAAUAAUCCGAAAAGGGUGACACUAAGGGGGCACCCUUGCUUUAUGCCCCGCCCCACGGAGAAUUCAGGCCCCAUCUGACUACCCAACUUGACUCGAACUUUUACGUCUGCGUAGCUGGUCUUUUAAGUGGAGGUUUUGCUCGUCACAUGGGUUUGGCGAUUCACCCGUCGGACAAUGUACAUCCCAACCUAACGGUCACUUUGGGUGAUGGUGGGACUGCGACUUCGGUAGGGUUUGCCGAGGUACCUAUUCGCUUGGACAUCAUACAACCCAUCAGCUUGACCACACACACAUAUACAUACACUCGGGGGGGCGGCUGGCAGGCGGCUGGCAGAGGUUAAGGCCUGACUUCUGCUCCCGGCCGACCCGGGUUCAAAUCCGCCAGCCGGCUCCUCGGGUGUUUGAGGAGUGUCGAAAUGGGAGGUGGCCCCCCAUCUUAUGGAUGGUGUAGGACGUGAUAAAAUCAACUUGCGAGCUGACCAGGAACAAAGUUGAUGCGCCGUUGAUCCGCUAGAUUUGGUUGGAUGCUGGUGGUGAGUUGCCGAACCCAACGAAUACAUUCUGAAGUCGGAUGGGGUGACGGAUUAGGGUGCCCCUCUAGCAGGGGAGAGCAGGGACUGCCUCGGGAAAGGGGGCCGCUGGCGAAGUUAACCACCCUGUAACAACAUACAUACACUCUCUUGCACUUGGAUGUGUCGGACCGUCUGUCUUGCAGCCACUCUGUGGACCACUAUCAGGCUACCGCAGCUCGGUCGCCAUCAUGAAGGCAGCUGCUGUUUUCAUUUUGUUACUUGGUGUUGGGAUGACAGCGCUGUGAUUGAGCUGACCUUGAACUUGUUGGAGCAAGGGAUGGAUGGCAACAAGUGAUAGGGAACGGAAAUGUGGCGGGUUGGGCUAACGGGCGAGGGUGAACGGGAUGGAUAUAGGGUGGUAGGGAGCUGGGCGGGGCGCGAUCUCACUGCUCACAGCAGUGCUGGGUGACGAUGACGGUGCUGGUGACAGCGAGGGUGAGGGCGCCACGCUCGUUAGCAUCCUUGUCAUUGUGUAGGUGGUUGACGAUGACCUCGAAAGAAGUAGCAACGGAUGGGUACAUGCAGGUCAAGAAAAAGAGGAAGUCAGGUGUGGAGGGGGUUCCGCAACGUCGAUGUCGAUGUCGGGUACUUCAAAAGCUCGGCCCCAGGUCACCGAGGAUGGUAUUUCAGAGGACGGCGAGGCCAAUUGAUUGGCGCUGGGGCUGCAGGGAUAGUCGAUGAGCAUUGGAAUGGCUCCAGUUCAGAUAGCGACAUGCUUUGACGCCGGUACUUCUACUUGGGAAGGUGCGUGGGUCGCCUAGGGUAUCCAGGCACUCCCACCGGGCGUCGAGCGGCCUAGCAAACUCUUUAAGUAUGCUUCCCACUGGCAACCUAACGGUGGCAUAAUGCGCUAUGAGGUCGUCACCACGCAGACCGGCUGGGGGCUCAGCUCCCAAACUCCUUAGGAAAGCUAGGACCUUGCUCCUCGUCCCGCACUCAGCAACACCCCCCCCAGCCAGCUCAAGGUCGGCAAUGAAGGCCCGGUGGCGCAGUGUCCCCGGCCUCCUGACAACUGAGUUCUGUUCGUUUGGUGCAGGCUGAGAACUGCGUGCCCGGGCCGUAAUGUAGACCGAGAUAUCGUGCCGUCGCGAGAUGUUACCAGUCAGUACCCUCAAACACCUGGCCUCUUGAUAGCAGAGUUCCAGAACCUUAGCCCCAUUGGAUUGGCCCCAUGGAACUGGAGCGGCAUUGACCCCAUGGAGAAGGAAAGCCCAAAAGGCAUCGCCAAGUAGCAGCGACAUACAGAUGAACCAGGUAUCCCGCAAUCCGAUUGUUGAGCAGCAGUUUAGUUUGUAUAGAAGCACACACACAGGAAAAUGCCGUAAGGGUCCGCCAUGCUGCCGUAUUGACCGGAACGGAGCCUCCUCUCGAAGUCUCAAACCCAACCAGUAAGGCCCACAGUGCUGUGCGCGGUUUGCGCUCGUCACGGUGCUGCACUUGAGCCGUUCGGGCUCCAGUGUAACUAAUGCUGCUCCAUGUGCUGACUCUGAGCGCCUUCCUUCCGCACAUCAUGAGGACCUGGGCCCUACGAGCCAACUUUGUCAUUGUCAUGUCGGCUGGAUGCGGCACGAGUACGGAAACGUUCGGAUCAACCCCCCAGCUCUGGAUCCUUGGUGGAAGCUGAAGCACUAGGGCGCAUGCACGGAUGCCAUUGGGGCAGCUCGAGAAAUCCGAGGGUGAUUCACGUGUUGUUCAAAUGGUAUCCAAACUGAACUUAAACUUGUCGAGCCCUAAAACCCUUCUCCCAUCUCCAAUACAAAGCCCUCCGGGUGCCCUGCCCGUCAGCUCCGACGCAUGUGUGCCCCAUGUGGCGCUGCCCCAGUGGAGGAAAGACCUGCACACAAACACACACGUACACACAGACACACGUACUCACACAAUUAGGACAGCGUCUCGGGCAGUAUCGCAAACCGUUGCCAUUGCGCCCUCAACCAACCAAUCAACGCCUCUCCAGGCAACAUACAACAGGCCGCAGGGAACAACUUCCGCCACCACCGCCAUCAUCGUCAGGCCAACAGACCCCCCCUUUACCGGCAGUGGGCCAGAUGCAGUAAGACGGUACAGGGUACAUUUACACACGACCCGACAUCGCUUCGCUUCGCUCCCGAAUUGCGUGAACUGGUGGACGGACGCUGUCAAAACACCCACGCACGCGCGAGCUGCGGUGGUGCGUCCUCACUCGCCUCUCACACAACGACAAAUUCUCCGCCACCUACACACCUACACAAAAAAUAUACAUACAUAUAUACAUACAGGAGUACAGCUGCGGUAGAGCGAUCCGAUGGGCAUUCGAGCGGCAGUCCCACACGCGUGCGUGGAAGGGGGAGGUAACGGAGCAUUCUGUGUGCCUGCUAAAAUGCUGUAGGCGCUAUAACACACAUACACACAGCUCCCGCCGGUGGCCCGUCCAUCCCCCGAGGGACGACCGAUCAGCCACCGCCCCCCUGCAGUGGCACAAUCCCUGACACGGAGCGGUGCCGGUGCCGGUGCGCCCCCGGCUAGGCUGAUGGAGUGGGCCAACCCCCGGUUUGAGGAGGAGAGGCGGCCGCAUCCCUACAGCGGCCCUACAGCGCCCCAUCACAAGCGCAUCGUGGCGCCGAACUAACACACUCUCAGUCAGUGGAGCAGCAGUACCCGGCGGCAACAAGAGGUCGCACAGUAGCUAGCACUCGCUCCCUCUCGUCCUCCCGUAGCGACACGGCCCCGGUUGAGUCUCUCGUCUCGACCCAGCCCGCCGCGUGCACCCCACCCCACCCCACCCUCCACUCCCCCACCGGUUCCCAGGGGGAAUCUCAGGGGACCCCAGGGAGGGGGGAGAGGCUAGCUCUCCGGCGUCAGUUGGCGGUUGGGAGUUGUGCGUUGCCUGUUCUGUCCUGGUUUGGCAGCUCACCCAACCGCCACCCCGGUGAGGCAAUACCUCCCGCCGCCACUUUGACAUGUAGGGUCGCACAUGCGACGGACCCGACCAGGCCCUCCAGGCACUAUUAGGUCCACUAUUGCCAAAUGCUGCUCUUAGGAAAAUCUGAAUGACAUGAAGAAAGAAUGCCGUACCAAUCCACUUCGAAUGUACGUGGCUGCCCGAAUCGGUUCCACCGUGGCCACCACCACCACCGCCACCACCACAGUGAUGACGGCGGUGAUGAUGAUGAUGAUGACGGCGGCGCACAGGAGUCCUGAAGCCAGCAAGCCAGCAGAAGCUGGCGCCCGUCCACAUCACGCAACAUCCGAAAUUCCAGUUCCUCCAAAUAAUAACCCUUGAUUCGAAAAUCUUCUCCUGUGCGUGUGUGUGUGUGUGUGUGCGUGUGUGUGCGUGUGUGUCUCCAUGGGGGUGAAAAGUAGGCGGGAGAAAGGGUGGGAGUGGGGGGUUAUUCCCGCCAUCGCCGCUUCGAGUAGUGGUGUCGGCAAUAUGCCCUGUACGGAACUCCACCACCACCACCACCACCACCACCACCAUCUCAGCCCAGCCCACCCCCUCACCCACCCGGCCUACAGGGACUGACCCCUCCCCGCAACCGCGCACAUCGCAUCGCCACACCGCACCCGCCACCACCCGCCGCCACCCUGGUUGCCGGGUGGACCCCCCGGGGGCUCCAACUGAGGGCCUUCCACGUCCCUUGCAACCCUUAUAACCUUCCCCUGAAGUGAAGGGCAGCGCAGGGCAGGGCAGUUCAGGGCCAGCUAGCGCCCGCCCGCCCUCCACUGCGCCUCGACGGUGAUGGAAACCUCCGAGCUCUAUCUUGAAGCCACCACGGCACUAACCCCCCCCCCUCCCCAAACGUGAGAUACCAUAGGAAUCCCCAACUAACUAACGAACUAACUAACUCCCCCAAAUACAAAACAGCAUUUUCCCCUUUCCUCGCAUCCAGCACGUUAACACAUACUACAGACGUACGUACAGCAUACGAGUCGAAAACACCUCCUACCCCCCCUCCCCUCCCCGCACAAUAUCCACCUUCCUCCCGACCGUACUAUCGGUCAGGAAACCGCCACCACUACCCCACACGCCCUGCAGACGAACCUCCUGCCACAUCGUACAUGCGGCCGUACCGUGCCGUACCGGCCACCUCACUGCAGGACUCAAGUGCUGUAGCUAUCACCACUUUACCAAUACUUCUAACACUACCAGAGCUGCUACUGCCCCGCCCCCGCCUGCAGCCGUCGCAUGUUCCAGUGCAGGCCCUCCCGCACGCCGCUGAACCAGUCUCGUGAUGCGUCCUUGGAGCACACCGUCGGUACCGGCCAGGCGCUCAUGCGAAUGACCACCGCGUCCCCGGCGUUGAGCGCCUGACGGUCCUUGCCGUCGAAUGAGCACCACAUCUGGGCGCGACUGUUGGCGGGGACCUGCGUUGUUGUUGUUGUUGUUGUUGUGGUGGUGGUGGUGGUGGUGGUGGGAUCGAUCAAUCGAUCGAUUGAUUGAAUGAUUGGUUGGGUGGCGGGGAGGGGAGGGGAGGGGAGGGGGUCUGUGAGGGCAAGGACGGGCUGUGAGGGCCGCAGGGCAUCUCCGGUCCCAGGAGGCGACGCGACAUGAGAUGGAUGGAUAUGUUGGAUAUGUUGGAUUUGAGAGGUCCAUCCAUUUGAGGGAUCAUCGAGUUGUCCUGCCAGCUGAUGUGUAUGUAUGUAUGUAUGUAUGUAUGUAUGUAUGUAUGUAUGUAUGUAUGUAUGUAUGUAUGUAUGUAUGUAUGUAUGUAUGUAUGUAUGUAUGCCUACAGAAACGCACCGCACCGCACCUAGCACCACCUACCCACAACAUGUCCCCCCCCACCUGGUAACACCCCCCCGGGCCCCCCAGCGGCACCCCCCCCGGCCCCCCCCCGCCCACCUGGACGCACAGCGACACGUGGUCAGGGAAGAUGAGGGGGCGGAAUGACAAGCUGUGCGGGCAGAUGGGGGUGAACAGGAUGCCGGGGACCUGAAGAGACGGGGGAACCCCGGGGGGGGGGGGGAGGGGAACGAGGAGGGCGGCGAGGAGGGAGGGGCAGUGGGGGAAUAUGUCACAUACAACAUGUCGCAGCAAUAUCUUCUCCGAGAGCGAACGGGCGAACGGCCGUGCCGACGUCCAUUCGUGCCAUUGAAUUACCGACUGAGCAGCUGAAGGAGCCAAUGUGUUGAGCAGCCGCCGCCGCCGCCGCCACCGCCGCCAUGUGACACGAGGACGCCCAGCGGCCCCUAUGUGGGCGGUACCACCGACCACCGAUAUGUUUUUGGCCCUGCCAUGCGCCUCUCCCGCAUGACAGCCGUCCCCUCAGCGCGUUGACGUCCAGCGCUGUGUCGAAGGGUGUUGCUGCUGCUGCUGCUGCUGUCGUAGACGUGUCGUACUACCGCUGUAGCGAAAAGGAGUUGUGUUGUUGUUACAGAGUGGGAGGCUUCCGGGCCAAUGGAACACAUUGAGGCUGUGUCGUACCCCUGGCCCCCGGCCCCCCGUCGUCUCGGACUGAAACCUGCCGCUACGUGGGCGCGAGGUGGUGUGCGAAGAGGCGCUCCCGCUACCCCAAGGCAACGUAAUACAGGCAGGUGCACAGCCCGGCCGAUGGCGGGGCGCGGACCGUCGAAAAAUCGUGAAGUCUUCUGGCCCCCCCACCCCACUCCCCUCCGCUUCAGGCUGUAAUCCCAACAUAUUACUCCGACUGCUGCUCGCCAAUUCCUCCUCCUCGCCUACCGCCGCCCCCGCCCGCUCCCCGGGAAAUCGCCAUCCCUAUACACACACGUACACACACCCUCCCCCCUCCCCCUCCCCCCUCGUUCGUCUUUCCCCCUCCCCCCCCCACACCUGCGGAUGGACCAUGGACCCGCCGGCCGCUAGAUUGUAGGCGGUGCUCCCCGUGGGGGUGGCCACGAUGAGGCCAUCACCCUGCGGGGGGGGGGGGGAAACAGUGCAGGGGGAGGGGGGAAGGUGUGAGUGUGUUUUACUAGAGCCGCUAGCAUAGAGGCUGCUGGGAAAGGGAAGUGACAAAGAAAGGGGUGUAUGUGCGUGUAUGCGUGCGUCUAUGUGGGGGGUGCUUGUGUGUGUGUGUGUAUGUGUUUUGGAGGGACGGGAGAGCGUGAGGAAGAAAGGUGAAUGUGUGUCUGUUCAGCACGUGUGGCCCCUUACCGCCUUAACCUUCCUCCCCCCCCCGUUCCCGUUCCCGCUCCCCCACCAUACCCCCGGAUGGAUUACUAGCGGAACCGCACCUUCAUCCAACCUUACCCUAUCCCCGCAUUUCCCCCCCAGCACACACACACACACAUACAUACACACGCACACCUGCACAUGCGUCACGAAGGUUCCAUCGCAGUAGCACUCCAGGUUGGUGAGGAAGGAGGAGAUGCCCCGGUCGAUAACCACCUCGUUCAGAACCACCCACUCGCGAGGGGCAACGGAACCAGCAGCAGCAGCAGCAGCAGGGGGAGGAGGCGGCAGGAGUGCCCCGACGGAGGGCCCCCCAGCACCCUCCUGGCACUGGCCCUGCCCAGGGGGGCCCCGUGCGCAGGCUGCUGCUGCUGCUGCUGGCCCCAGGCCGCCGCACUGCCCCACCUCAGCUGCCCGAACUAUGUGGCAGUGCAGCCGGUGUCGCAGCAUGAUGGGGAAGCCGCCUGCAGGGGCCCGAGUGGCAGGGGGAGGGUGAUUGCGGUGGGGGGGGGCGGAGGUUAAGGGAACAACAACUGCCGGCAACGCCCACAUACUUGCUAAGAGGGGGAAGGGGGGAUGCAGGAGCUUGCAGCGGGUUAGAGGCACGCGGCAGCGUGAGGGGCCCGCAGUAAGUGAGGGGGAAGAGGGAGUGAAGGGGGGGAGGGGGGGGAGGGAGUGAAGGGCGGGAGUACAAGGGGGGAGUGAAGGGGGUGAGGAAGAAAGGGGUGAGGGCAAAAGGGGCCGAUGAAUUUCCAGCCGCCGUGCCGCUGCAUCACGCGAGUGAAGGGGUGGGGGAAGGGAGGCGAGGGAUCUCGCCUCCCCNNNNNNNNNNNNNNNNNNNNNNNNNNNNNNNNNNNNNNNNNNNNNNNNNNCCCUCCCCCCCCCCCGUUCCAACCUGUCUCCCCCCUCACCCCCCCUCACCCUCCAUGACGUGAUGCAGCACCUCCUCCGCACUGCCCGGAUCGAAGGGGGUCAGGAAGCCCAGUGAGCCGAGGUUAAACGGCACCACGGGGGGAACGCUCUGGUUGCCAAAGAUGUGACACGUCCACAAAACCGUGCCGUCACCUGUGCCGUACAUGGUGGGAGGGAGCAGGCAGGAGAGUGUGGCGGUGGGGGUGGGGGUGGGGAGUGGAGCUAGAAAAGGUGGGGUAUGGAUGGAACCAGACGCCGUUGGCGGCGCAUUGGCUAGAGGGGGCUUUCCCCCGCCCCUCCCCCCCCCCGGGGGUUCAGGUGACCCGAAUCCCGUCAUGACCCCAUAGGGCCCCCGCUCGGGGGCUGAGAAGUCGCAAGGAGGGGAGGUGGUGCGCGAACUGGAGAACGACGAGGUGUGAGUGUGUGUGUGGGGGGGGGGUAAGGGGAGCCACAAGCCGGAGCUCUGCUGGCUAAUCCCCCGUCCGUCCCUAACCCCCCACUCAACCCCCCCCACACUCAUCCCCCACUCACCCCCCCACUCACCCCCCCCCCACUCACCCCCCCGCGAUACCCCCCCACUCACCCCCCCACUCAACCCCCCCCCACUCAUCCCCCCGCGAUACCCCACAAAAUGGACUCACCUCCCAGCACCACCACGAAGUCCACCGCCGCCGCCACAUCCCCGGGAACCACCUGGCUGUGGCAGUCAUCCCCCUCAUCAGCCGGCCAGCUCAGCAACAUGGGAACACCCGUGUAGCAGCCCGGCAUCAACACGCCCUCCUCCGCCUCCUCCGCCUCCGCCUCCUCUCCACCACCACCACCACCCUCCUCGAACAGCUCGCCCUCUCCUGCCUCCACCCACCCCUCCUCUCCCUCCUCCUCCUCCCCCUCCAUUACCCAACCCUCCCCCCCAACCACGCCUCCGCUCCUUCCGCUACUGCUGCUGCCAUCACCCCGCUCCUGCCCGCUACUGCUGCUGCUGCUUUCCGCGCCUGUGGCCGGCAGCGGCGCUCUGCGCCGCAUGUACGAACUCCCGCGCCGCUGAAGCACCGCCGGCGGCGGCGACGGUGGUUUGCAUGCGAGUCCCGGCCAGCCCCUCAGCAGGGACGGCUCCACGUAGGUCGCCACCCCCCGCUGGUGCAGCCAGGCCAGCACCCGCUCGAAGGUAGGUCGCACCCCCGGACUGGGCUUAGCCACCACCAGCACCGCGGAGGGCGGGGUCACCCAGUACAGCGCCACGAAGGCGGGCUCGGGGCUCAUGGCCUGACAGGUCCGGCAGGAGGGCUCGCUGGGGCCGCCGCCGAGGGGAGCAGCAGCGGUCGCCGCCUCCAGCGGGACGGCCGCCGCCGCCGCCUCCUCUGGCGCCGCUAGCGUCGGCGGCAGCGGAGGACGCAGCAACGUGUCGGUACUGCCGGGUAGCGGUUGCCCCGCCACUGCCACUAGAGGUGGUGAUGGUGGCGCUGUUGCUGGUUGUGAUGGUGGCGCUGCUGCUGCUGCUAAUGGCGUUGACGAGGGGGUACUGGGACAGCUGCGCACAGGUGGCGGCACACCCCGGCUUGGAGACGCGCUCACGUUUUCUACAUCGCCCCCUGACGUGGCCGGCAUGGGCAUGGAACAGGAUCCGAUCCGCGGCGGCAGGUGGUGGUCGGGCCCCGGGUGACCAGACCCAUCACCAGGCGCCGCCGCGCCCUCGUGCGCCGCAGGGGACCCCGCCGCCUCGGAGGUGACGACGCCAAACGGCGCCAGCGCCCCCGCCGCCGCGGCCGCCGGCUCGUGCGGGGGCAGCAGCGGCACCUCCCACCGCGCCAGCGGCGCCGCCGCGGCGGCGGCCGCCGCCGCCGCUGCGCUCAUCAUUCCCCCCCCCGCCCUCGGCGGCGACGCCACUGCCGCCGCGCCCGUGUGCCUUGGCGAGCCCGGCGCCAGAUUACACGUGGCCCUGUUACACCUAAUGAGGUUACUGGACUGCUGUAUGGAGGCCAAGUCGUCCUGCAGCUUGGUGCGCUGCUUGUGGAGGCUGCCGGCAUGCCAGGACAGCUCCUCGUGAAAGGAGCCGCCGCCGCCAGGCACCAUACCCCCACCCCCACCCCCCGCAGCUGCUCCGGGGCCCCCUGGUGCUGCCGCUGGCCCCGUCUCCCUCCGCGGCACCCCCGAGCCGGCAGACAUGCCCAUCAGGGCGGCUGAUAGCGGCGAGCGCGCGAAACCCACACUCUGGGUACGACCCACAUGGCUCGACCCGGAUCCGGAUCCAGAUCCGGGUACGGAAUUGAAUGUCGACGGUGGCUGUGUGACGGAACCGAAUGUCGCGGAACCCGGCGGCGGCGGCGGCGGCGGCGGAGCGCUGGCCGUUUGCUGCUGCUGCUGCUGCGGCGGCGGCGGGGCCGGUGGUGGUAGCGGAUGGUGAGAUGGUGGUUGCAACGGGGAGGAGGCUUCGUGGAGGGUGGUGGUGGUGGUGGUGGUGGUAGCCCCCCGGGGGCCCUGCGGCGCGCGCAGGUGGUGCUCAUGUUGCUGUUGCUGUUGGUGGUGGUGCUGUCGGGCAACCGAGAGCUCCUCCUGCCCUGGGCCUGGACCUGGACCUGGCUCCGAAAACACUACAGUCACGUCCGCAAGGUGAUGACCCUCCUCCUCCUGCUCCUCCUCCCCCUGCACCUGGACAGCUGCCCGCCCGCCCACACUGCGACCACCGCCGCUCACGCGGUCCUCCCCCGGCAACAGCACCGCCCGCCCGCCCAGUCCCCCGGUACCACCACCACCACAACAACAACCAGCACCUCCCCCCCCUUCCCGCCGCGCCAGCUGCCCCUGGCCCUGCUGCACACCACCCGCCCCGCCGUCCCUGUCCCUGUCCGACGAAAACGAGGUGGUCACGGAGCCCCGCGAUGUGGGAGUGGAGGAACAGGACGGAGUCAAGUCCGCCGAGGAACCGGCAGCACCAGCAGUAGCAGCAGGGCGAGGAGGAGGGGGAGGGGGAGGGGGAGAAACAGGAGGGCCCGCCGGCAAAGGCCCAGCCACGGACACUUGCAUGCCCGCCAGCCGGGCGUCCAGACCCGCGCUGGACACGGAAUGGGCUCGGCCGGCCGGAACAACAGCCUCAUCUUCACCGCCGCCGCUGCCGCGGCUGCCGCCGCCACCGCCGCCGCCACCGCCGCCGCCGCCACUGGUCAUCAUCGCGAUGGCGGAUGAGGUGUUGGCGUAGCUCUUAGCGCCCGGUGGGGAGCUUCCUCUCCCCCGUUUCCCCCCACCGGUGGUGUCGGUGCCGGUGCCGGCUCGUGUGAGCUCGCAUGCGGAGACGCUCUCGUGAACCUUGGACGGGCCCGUGUGGGCUCCGGGCCCGUCAGCUCGGCUCGUCCUGCUGCCGCUGCCUGCUGGGGGCGGGAACAUGGCGCCGUAGUUGGACAGCUGCCGCAAACUAGCGGAGUCACCUGCGCGAAUGCACCGCCGGGGGAAGGGUGGGGGAAGAGAAGCUCAAGAGGUAACCUGCAGGGGCGUCCAAAAUCCUAAGUCCUAAAUUGCUCAAGUCCUUAGCGAUGAAGGGUUGGGGGGGAAACACGAACCACAAACGAGUGAAGCUGGUUGGGGGGGGAGAGGGAAACAGCGCGGGAUGAGGGUGCGGGGGGAAGUGGGGUGAUGGUACGGGUUAUACAAAAGACGGCUGCCGGGACGGGAGCCCCUGAUCAAGAGCAGGGUAGGGAAGGUGGUGGGAGACACGGGAACCGAUGCCCCGGCGGCCAGAUGGGGUUUAAGGUUAACAAACAUGAGUGACAUUUGUGUGUAUUGUGUGUGUGUGUGCGUCCAUCCACCCAUCCAUCCACACCUCCCCUGGCCCUUCCUUCGCGCGAACCCCACCCCCCACCCCCAACCCCCAAUCCCCCUCCCACCCCCAACCACACUCACAUCCCACCCCCAACCACACUCACCGUUCCCUCCUCGCAGCACCAGCUUGAACCCCGCUCGGCUGUGUCCCCGAGUGCUGCCUCCCCCGCCCCCUCCCCCUCCCCCUCCCGUCCCCAUGCUGCUCAGACUGCUGCAGCUUGUGUUCCGAGUGCCACUGUCCACCGUGGCCGGGCCCCCUCCUCCAGCGCCGGACGCCCCCUGCAGCAGCUCACUGCCACCGCCGCCGCCAGCACGCCUACUACCCGGCCCAGCAACCAGCAGCAGCCCUUGGUGGCCUGCAGAUGCAGGUCCAUGCCCCACAUGACCAGGGCUCCACCUCAAGCCACCCGACUGCUGCUGCUCAGCUGGGCUGACUUGCGCCGAGAUACUCGAGCCGGGGCCAGGUCCGGGCCCUGGCCCCGGUCCCGGGCUGGCGGAGGUGCGCUGCAGGGCGAGGGAGAGGUCCCCCUCCUGGAUGCCGUGACUGGCUCGCGGGGAGACGGCUGCAAAGGCGCUGAUGGCGGCUGCGCUGGCUGCAGCUGCGGCUGUGGCUACGGCGGUGGUAGAGGAGCAGACCUGGUUCAGGUCGCUGUCGACCUGGCUGCGGGGAUAGCCUCCUGAGAAAAAGGGGGGGUGAGUCGGGCGGUGGUAGAGGAGGGGCGACUGUACUUGGAAGUGCGGGAUACGUUUAGUGCGGGAUACGGAAUGAGGGGCAGGAUGAGCGCGGGGGUAGCAAACACGUAUGCAAGAGAGGGUCAGGGUGAGUUUCUGUGUGUGUGUGUGUGUGUGUGUGUGUUAGGAUUGAUGCUCCCGCUGCCCCUCUCCCCUCUGCCUGCAGGAGAUGAUUCGGCGAGGUGAUGAGGCCUGUUGAGUGCCUGCUGUUGCAGGUGCAAGAGCUGCUCACCUUGCAAGCCCUGCGCGGCGGGUGCGGAGAGCGCGAUUGCCACAGCCAGCAUGGAGCUGAAGUGGUAGGCGGGAGCGUCCGAAUUGGGUCUGCGAAAGGAAUGUACCAGCUGUGCAACUGGGCACAUGGAGUAAAUCAGGGGAAGCCAAGCAAGGUCCGCACCCGUAACGAGUAACCCGACGGAGAGAUGGCGGAAAGCAUUUCGACUGUGAACAUGAUGCAAUCGUCAGCAUGCGGCGCAGCCGCACAUUUCGUCGGUGUUCUUCCUGCGCCCUGCCGGUGGAUGGACCGCGUAAGCCAUUGACGCACGGCUCAUCAGAGCCCAGGGACAGCUUAAGAAGGAUCUGUGAUAAUAACUACCUCGAUCGCCAAGCUUCGCACUCCACGCGUGCGCGGCUUGCCUCCUGCUCCGAACGCUCGGCUGCUUCUCUGUAACCCCGAACAACAUCCAGAAGCUCUGCAAUUAUCAAGUCGUUCAUGAAUUACUUGAUGCUUCUAUAGCAAGAAACGGAACAGAGCAAGCUGCCUCGGUAAAUUGUAGUCACCUUGCAAAGUUGCCCUUGCCUUGUCUUCAAGUUCCAUUGUGACGAUUUGUUGUUACAUGUAGCUACAAAGCCCAACAUAAAUUUUAUUACUAUGGCCGGGGUUAAUCAGGCAUCAGGACUGUUCAGGUCAAUAGAAAGCCGUAACCCUUUUCGUUCUAGGGGCCAAUCAAAACCACCUUUUUGUCAUGCAUCAUUUUGUCUGACAGUUACAUCAAUUCAUCGCCAAUCAUAGUAACUCAUACACCAAUUCUUAAGGGGUCAACUAGCAAUUUCGUGUAUGUCCUUGCAGCACCUUAGUGGUUGCAAACUCCACGAAAGCAACACACACGGUGCAAUUAAAUCAUGGCGAUUUACGGAUUCAGGAUCCUUAGGCAUCUGCCAGUAAAAAGCUGUAUUUUCGUGUUAUUUCACGACCAGUCGACGCACGUUUAUGGUGCUCCGCUCAAGCUCUGAACCUGCGCCACCGUACUCUGGACAUACGAAUCAAAAAGUUGCUUCAUCUCCUGCAAAUCUCGUUCCGCCUUGCAACGUAAAUUAUCCCCCACCGCCAGCUGCUGCUGCAGUUCGGCAAUGUGGGUGGCCGCCUCUGCAAGCAGUCGCCGGGCCGAGGACUCCGCCACCAUCGCAGUUAGGCUUCCGUUAUCACCUCCCUCAUCAAAACUCUCACUACCGCCUGCGGCACCUUCCUGAGCCGGCCCUUCCUCGCCCCGGAUACCCCUCUCCGCUGCUUCCAAUUCCUCAGCCUCUGCCAGAUCCUUUUCCGUUUGAACCAAGCGCUCCAGCAGGGGUCCACCUUGGUUCCGCAGCCUCAGCCCGGUUAGCUCCGCCCGCAGCCUCGAGACCAGGUGGCCGUGGUUGUCCAGGACAGCGCUCAUCCCCUCGAGCUGUGUCUCAAAAUCGUUUCAAAUCAGAUCAGGUUUCGUAGAAGGACACAGAUAAGACCAGGGUUGUGCCGGGGGAGUGCGGGCCGGUGGAGCGGGAGAAAGAGAGUGAGGAACAAGGUCGAUUGGAGAACUCAUGGGAGCAGAAAACGGGUGGGAUGAGAUGUUCGAAGAGCAGGACCGCACAGGCGGCGGCGAGGUAACAGCUCUUGUGCAUCACAAACGCACGCACGUGUGUAUACAUUUUGACUACCUUAGCCGGGGAAGGAAACUGCGAGCCGUCUAUGUGCCGUGUAUGAAUCUUCGGCGAUUGAGUUCCCAUCGACCGCGCUGCUUGAAAAAGGAGAACCAAUGGUGAAGGCGCGAACGCAGGCGCCCCCUUUCCGACGUUAAAGAAAGAAGUAAUUUUUAAAGUAUGCACUCCCCGUGGAUGGAAAAUCACGGGCAACCGCCCCAACAGUAAGCAAGACCUACCUGUUCCUUCCUCCGGGCAGGAAAGAGAGCAUCCCCUUCCGUCCUCCCCCCCUUCUCCCACUAAGCCCUCGCUCACUUGCGCCUGCCGCUGCGCCUCUGCAUCCGCCUCCGCUGCCGCCAGCCGGUUCCGGAGCGCCCACACCUCCCGACCCGUAGACUCCAGCAGCAGCCGCAGCCUCAUGGCCUCAGCAGCUGCAGGGUCCAGCAGACCAGCCGCAGCUGCGGCAGCAGCAGCAGCAGCCCGAGCCGCAGUCGCGUCCCGCGCAUAAGCCUGCUCCGAGUCCAUCAAAUCCGAGCCUCUGCCGCCGCCGCCGCCGCCGCGGAUUCCGCCGGCGGUUGUGGCUGCUAUGGCCUCUCCUCCCGCCGCCAGCAUCAUGUCGUACAGCUGCCGAGGGCCCCCUGGGAAGUCCAUUGAUAUGGCCGUCGGGAAGGGCCCCACAGCCGUGUCUCGUCCGUCCCACGAGCGGCGACCAGGCGCCCCCGCGGACGUCGUACCGCCGCCGCCGGCCGCGUGAGCCCCCAGGCUUGUGGCUCGGGUGCUUAGCUGUAGCUGACCCCCCCUUGACGCCACUGCGGCGCUUGGCGACCGACUAAGCUGCAGCGGGGAGGUGCUGGGGCUGGCCGGCGGCGUCGCGGGCGUUCCGGAACCACCGGAUGCGUACGACAGCAGGCUGCCGCCGCCGGCACCGACUUCGUCAGCGGCGGCACGGCCACCGCUGCCGAACAUUGGUCCAGGCCUGCCGCCACCGCUGCCGCUGCCAGCCACAGACAUGCGACGUGGCGGCAGCGGCGGGAGGUCGUACGAGCCCAGCGGCAGUACGGGUCGUGCCAAGGCGAGGCCGUCACUGAAGGAAGCCCGUCGGGCCCUGUGAAGCCCGCUAGCCGCUGCAGCGUGUUGCUGAGACUGGGACUGGGACUGGGACUGGGACUGGCGCUGCUGAGUUUCCCGUGGAGACGUUUGUUGAUGUUGGUUGAGGAGGACACAGGCGCGGGCCAGCGCCUGGGUGAGCGACUGCACCUGUGUGUGCGGUUGUGUGUGUAAAGGGGGAGGGGGGAGAGGGAAAGAUGAACCACGAACGAGUGAAGGUGCUGCCAAGGAAAGAGGGGGAGGAAAGACGAACCACGAAUGAGUGAAGCUGCUGCCAAGGAAAGAGUGUACCAGACGUAGAACUGACUAAAAGGCGUCCCCCGAAAGAGGGGGAGGGGUGAGGGACGGAUACGCGGGGAGGAACGCGGAAGCAGGAGCUGGCCAAGUUGGGUUGGGGGCUUUGGAGGUAAGGUCGCCUCAUCACUACUACUACUCUACGGCUCAACAACAAUAUUCAGCCAGGUAAGGGAAUAUCAGGAUCCAACACCCGUUAUCCGUUACCCGUUAUAUACACCGCUUCUUAUCUGCACGGUUUCCAACUAGCUGGUACGACAUCCAGCUGGUACGACAUCCAGAAGCAACUGUACGCUGUACGGUCGACAACGUGUUGCUGGAAACCUGCGCUAUCCGCUUCCGGACGACACUCCGUUACGACUACCACUACCGCUACCGCUACUACGACUACAUGUCGGGAUCUUUAGGGAUAAGAAAAUAUUAUCUUGUCCGUAAAGACGGGCCGCGCAAAGGAUUAUAACUCAAACCAGUCGUUCCUUCUUCGCCUUGGACGCCCGGGCGGCGGCUUCGACGCUCCGGGCCCCGGCACUUUCCCUUGGUGGUCCUGCGAUUUGCAUAGCUGCAGAGUAUGAUUCACCUCCCUCCACUUCCCAUCAUCUCUCUCCCGCUCCCGCUCCCCCUCCCCUCGCUGCCCCCCUCAACCCCCUUUACACACACACACCCACACCUGGUCCUCCCUGAACGCCAGCUCCGCCGCCAUCCCCGCCACCUCCUCUUCCCGCCGAGCAGCCGCAGCUAGUUGAGUCCGCAGACACACCACCGCGGAAUCCCGCUCAGCUAGCUGCUCGUCCAACAGCCUCCGCUCGUCCACCUCCAGGGUGGGGACCACCAGUCGUACACGGGCCUAGGCGGGUAGGGGCAGGCGGCGUCACCGAGGGGAAGGCGGGCGGCCCCCCCGACCCCGACCCCGACCCGAAGAAGAGGAAAGUGCGCGAAGGGAAGAUUCCACCAAGCAGUAGUCCUCCUUUCACAUGUGGCACACACAAUCACACACACAAUCACACACACAAUCACACACACAAUCACACACACAAUCACACACAAACACACACACACGCGCAAUCUGGGCAGGCGCCUCCUAAUCUGUUCGCGCCCCCGGCAGCGGGCCUGUUUGGCCUCCACCGCUUCUUCCUCGAACCGCUAAGCCCCCGGCAGAGCCCACCCCACCCCCCUGGGCCUCAUGUCUUGGCUCGCUCCAGAAAGAAAAGUAAAGAUUGGCAGUCCUCCUAGCCUCCAGGAAAGAGGGGUUAAAGAACAAACCUCCUCCUCCACAUGCACAUCCGCGCACACGCACGUCCCCAACUCCUCCCUACCUCCGCCUCCUCCGGCCCCACCACCGCCGCCAGCCGCGCUUCCGCUUCCGCCUUGGCGCGUAAGGCAGCUCGUUCCCGGGCUAGGUGCUCCGAAACCUAAGUGUACGACAAGGCGACGAGGCCCGCAGGCGGAAUUCCCAUGCAAGGAGUGAUUUUACGUCCUGACUACCCAUCCUGGCCAACUUCUUGGCCCCGGGGGUAGGUCCUUUGCAGAGUGCCGUACUACCCCGGAAUGUACGAUAUCAACCCAGGGGCCCCCCAUCCUGCUGAUGGGCGUGUACGUGAGUUUCAUUGAGCUCUAUUCUAAGGAGGUCUCCUCGCCUCCUUCCUGCACCUCCCUUUUCCCCUCCUCCCCUUCUUCCCCGCACUACGCGCGCAUACAUACGUACACACAUACACACGCACUCUCUCUCACUCUCUCUCCCGUACCUACCUGCUGUGUGAGGUUGUUGACUUGUGCCAGGGCAUCCGCCAGGGCCCCCUGGAGCGCCGAAUUUCGUCCUGCCGCCUCCACAUGCAAGGCCCUCAGAGCCGCCCGCACCUCCCGCAGAGCCCCCUCCCUGGAGUCCAGGACCUGGCGCGCGGCAGCCAGCUCCGACUCCGCCUCGCCCAGCUGGGCCUGCGGGAGUGGGGGGAGGGCGGAAGGGAGCGGGUCGGAUAGGGGGGCCUCGUCAGCAGCACAUACACACAGCACGCAUACGGCACAGCAACACGUGGCGCCGUACACCACCAGAAGGCCGCGUCAAGAUGAAACCCCUCGAUAAGGCCUUUAUAUCCUCCCCUGCACCAUCCCCUCCUCCCCUUCCGCCUCCCUGCGCUCAUUCAUUCAUCCGCACACAUACACGGUAAAGGGGGCCGGUGGACAACACAGGCCGCGCAGUCCCCCUCCCCCUCCCCCUCGCCCUCCCCCUCCCCCUCCCCCUCCCCCUCCCCCUCCCCCUCCCCCUCCACCCAGCCUAAGCCCCCUAAUCCCCGGAGCUCCCCCCCCCGCUCACCACCAGUUCCGCAAUUGCCAAGUUAUGCAACCUCAGGGAGUCCGGUGGCAGCCGUGAUCCCCCCCCUCCCCCUCCCCCUCCCCCGCCCCCUCCCCCGCCCCCUCCCUCUAUCCGCGUCAGCUCUCCAGGGGGGUGGCGUGGGGCGGUGGAGAGGCGGCCGGUUGAGGAGGGGGAGGGCGCCUGCUCCACCCCCCCGGGGAACGCCCCGAACAGCAGCUGGCCACCCUCUCGGCUCUGAGCCUGAGCCGGAGCCUGAGGUUGGGGUUGCGGAGGCUGGUGGGCUUGCAGCCGCACCAGCGGGGGGGAGCCCAUCACUCCGAGGGCGCCGCCGCCAUCACCGUCAUUACCGCCGUUGCUGGCAUCGGCCGGGGUGCGAGCGGCGAGGGGCGCGGAGGACAUGCGGGACGCCGGCGGCGCGGCGGCGACGGCAGCGGCAGCGGCGGCAGCGGCGGUGGCUUCGGGGUGCAGGGCCGGUGUCGUGGGGCCCUGGGCCGCCACCGUUCGGAAUGCAGUCCCCAUAGCCGUCACACAGCCGGCGGCGGCGACGGUGUCGGGAUCGUCCAUGUCCGGGACGCGCUUCGCCGCCUGUACGGCAGCUGACGCCAAGUUUUCUGCCACGCACGCCGCCGUCAGGGGCGGCAGGACGCUGCCGGCGGCGGCACGUACGACACCGGAAGCCGCCGCCAGUGACACCGCCAGCGCGGCUUGCUGCUGCUUUGCGGGUGAAAGCCCGACGGAGGUGGCGGUUUGCAGCGGCGGUGGUGGUGGUCGUGGUGGUGAUGCCAGUGCAGGCAGCUGAGAACCAGGAGCUGUCGCGGGUAUGCCGCUGCCGAUUGCCAUGGAGGCUGCGGCUUGGGGACUUGUCGGCGGCGACGUUAUCACGCCCUCCUCCCUGGCUUCCGCGGCCUCCUCCGUCUCUAUGAGCAUGUUUGCUAGUGACGCCACUCGCGGCAGGUCAAUCGCCGCCGCAGCCGUCGCGCCGACGGCGACGCCGGCGCUGUAGCCGCUGUAGUACGCCGCCGCCGCCGCCGGGGACGACUGCGGUACACCCGCCGCACCCAGCGCUGCCCCCUGACCGAUUCCCGUUACUGAAGCCGCCGUCGCGGCAGUCGCCGCCACGUGGUCCAAGUACGGCAUCAGCGCACGUGCACCUGCCGUACGGCGCGGUCGAGCUCCAGCGGCGGCCGGCGUCAUUCCCUGCUCUGCGCUCCUAACUACCUCCCAGGUGGCAGACGGCCCGGUGGACGCUGCCGUCGCCGGCGGAGACGAUGGCGUCACACCUCCGUACGGGCCGCCGUACAUGCCGUCAGUUAUCUCGCUGAUGGGACGCGCAGCGGAAACGUCCGCGACUGCGCCAGCAUGGGUUGACUGGCUGGUGGCGGCGGCCGCAGUUGGGGCGGGUACGGCAGGUGCGGGUACGCCAUGUGUUGGCACCGGCGGUGGCGGCGGCAGGUCCCCUAGGAUAUCAGCCAGGAGAUCGCUGAGGCGGCCGGGGGGGGGAGGGGGUAAUUAUGGGGGCUUGGUGGGGGUCAAAACACGCCGGAAGCGCUCUGCUGUCGACCUCCAAAGCACCGCCACCCCACCCCACCCGGGGGCGAAGGGGCCCCGAGGAAAGCAAGACCGCACGGCUAAACACGGCUAGACAGAGGACAGACAAACCUACAGGCUGACGGAAAGAGGCAUAGACAGACAGGCAGACAGACAGGAAAAUAGACAGGCAGACGGAGAGAGACAGACAGACAGACAGAGAGAGACAAACAGACAGACAAACAGACAGACAAACAGACAGACAGGCAAAUAGACAGACAGACAGAGAGAGACAGAUAGACAGCAAACAGACAGACAGGCAAAUAGACAGACAGACAGAGAGAGACAGAUAGACAGACAGACAGACAGACAGACAGACGAACAGACAGACAGGCAAAUAGACAGACAGGCAAAUAGACAGGCAGACAGACAGACCGACAGACAGGCAGAAAGACAGACAAACAGACAGACAGGCAGAUCGACAGACGGACAGACAGAGAGACAGACAGGCAGACAGACAAACAGACAGACAGACAGGCAAAUAGACAGGCAGACAGACAGGCAAAUAGACAAACAGACAGACAGGCAAAUAGACAGGCAGACAAACAGGCAAAUAGACAGACAGACAGACAGAGAGAGACAAACAGACAGACAAACAGACAGACAAAAAGACAGACAGGCAAAUAGACAGACAAACAGAGAGAGACAGAUAGACAGACAGACAGACAGACAGACGAACAGAAAGACAGACAAACAGACAGACAGGCAAAUCGACAGACAGACAGACAGAGAGAGACAGACAGGCAGACAGACAGACAAACAGACAGACAGGCAAAUAGACAGGCAGACAGACAGGCAAAUAGACAAACAGACAGACAGGCAAAUAGACAGGCAGACAAACAGGCAAAUAGACAGACAGACAGACAGAGACAGACAAACAGACAGACAAACAGACAGACAAACAGACAGACAGGCAAAUAGACAGGCAGACAGAGAGAGACAGAGACAGACAGACAGGAAACAUAAAAGGACACACGGCGAAGCAGUAGGACGGGGCGGCGGCCCUAAAGCGCAUGCCAGCUGCAGAUGUUGCAGGACAGCAGCAGCAGCAACAGAUGGCGGUUGUCGGACCGUUCCUCUCCGCCCCCCCUCCCCGCCCAACACCCCUCUUCUCCAGCCCACCGGCAAUAACGCCGUUCCUCCGCAUCCACCGGAGCUUCAGUCGUACCGCUGACGCUGACGCGGUACGGCCGUACGGGUGACGUUGAUGUCGACCUACGGGACACCUCCGCCGGAGACGACAGCCCCUCCGCCGCCGCUGGCAGGGCUGCGGCCCCGCCCCCACCAAUAGCGAUAGGAGGGCCCGUUACUGACGUUGCCACCGCCUCCGAAGCGAGUUCGGUUCCAAAUCCGAAUCCUUGUGCUGCAGCCGGCAGCCCCAUAGUUGCCCCCGAGCCGCCACCGCUGCCGCCGCCGCUGUCACCUCCGCCGUCACCUCCGCCACCUCCGGCCGCAGCCUCAUCGCUGAUUGGGACUGUCGUUGUCACUGACGUUGUAGUAGGACCCAGUGACGGCGGCACCGCGGGCGCAACCGCCGGCGGAAGCUGGAACUCAAAUCCACCGCCGCCGCCGCCGCCAUUACCUCGCUCCGCAUUGACGUCCCCCUCCUCCCCCUCCCCCUCCCCCNNNNNNNNNNNNNNNNNNNNNNNNNNNNNNNNNNNNNNNNNNNNNNNNNNNNNNNNNNNNNNNNNNNNNNNNNNNNNNNNNNNNNNNNNNNNNNNNNNNNNNNNNNNNNNNNNNNNNNNNNNNNNNNNNNNNNNNNNNNNNNNNNNNNNNNNNNNNNNNNNNNNNNNNNNNNNNNNNNNNNNNNNNNACUCGCGUCUCCAGCUGGCCCUUGUCACGUUGCAGGUGCUCCACCUGGGGGGCGGGUGGGGGGCCGGGUGGGGGGCCGGGGGUAAGUCGAACCACCGGCGAAUGGAGCAGAUGCCCAAGGCGGGUGUACUCCAGGUGCGGGGUUGCGUGCGAUGGGGAGGGCAGUGGUGUAGGGAUUGUGUGGGGGGGGGGACCGCCCGGCCCUCACCACUAACACUGCAAGCGAGACGGCUGCCGAGCGGGCGGCCCCAAUCAGCCAAGUCGGGGUCGGGGUCGGGGUCGGGGUCACAGCCUCCUGGUGGGGACAUCCCCCCGCCACCCCCCACCCCACCCCCCCACCUCACCUGCGCCCUCAGCUGCUCCAGCUCCUCCCUGAGGUCAGAGAUCAGCCGGUCGUCCAGACAGUGCAUCUCCAGAGCGGUGACACCCCCCGCCAGACCGUACGACUCCAACUCGGCCUCCACGGCAGGUCGCAGCUCACCCCCCGCACCCGUCAGGGCCUCCAGCUUCUGUGUGGGGCCCCGGCAGGGGGGGAGGAGGGUGCAGAGGGAGGUGCAGAGGGAGGUGCAGAGGGAGGUGCAGAGGGAGGUGCAGAGGGAGGUGCAGAGGGAGGUGCAGAAAGCGAAACCGCAAUCGCCCAGGACGUUCCAGGACAGAGGCAGGAUGGGGAUAUGAUCGCCAUCAUCACGAGGCCGUAAGGUUUCGAAAACGUCAGAUGCCGAAAAACUGACUUCCAAAGCGGGUGGGUGGGGGGUAGGGGGUUAGGAAGGCCGGAGAUGAUGAUGUCGUGGAGAGCGAUGGAAAGCUGCAGAAAGGGGGAAGAGGAGGUGCAAUAUCGGGGAGGAUGGCGAAGGGCUCCGUCCGGUGUAGGGCAAGGCGACAGGGAGGGAGGAGUGAAUGCGGGGCCCUACAGAGGCUGUCGUGAGGUGGUACGGCGCCUGUCGGCCCCCCGUAACCCACCACCACCACCACCACCACUUGCUACUCGCUUGGCGACAUACAUACCGUAACCAUCCCCACAUAACAUCCCCACAUACAAUACAUAGGCCUCUCCCCCCUCCCCUUUCCUCACAACCAUUAUCAACCCCCUCCCACCUCCCACCUCCCACCUCCCACCUCCCACCUCCCACCUCCCACCUCCACCUCCCCGCCCCACCUGUAUUGCGGCUAUGAGGUCGCUGCUGGGCCCCGGGGGGGGCGAGGUGGGGCGGGAGGCCAUGCGGCUCGCUCCCUCCCCACCGAACCAGCCCAUCUGCUGCUGAUGGUGGUGGUGGUGGUAAUGGUAAUGAUGGGCCGCCGCCACCCCGCCGCCGCCGCCGCCGCCGCCGAACCGUGGCACCGGGGAAUGAGACAUGCUGGCGAGGAGGCUGCCACCGCCGCCGUACCUGCACGCCGUACAAUGCGUAUGCCGUACACUUAAGAUAUUGCAGUACACUGCAGUACACUGCAUGCAUGUCGGUAGUUUAUUUCUCCUAUGUACAUGUCAUAUCUUCAUCACUCUGCCCAACCCCCCGACGCGACCCCUUUUCCCUUCCCCUCAUCACAUCCCCCGCGACCAGAUUGAUCUCUUGGGCGUGCAGGAUGAAUGGAUGAUAACAAUUUUCGCGGGAGGUAAUGAAUGGAUAUGGGUUGUUACGCAACUGCGCACACAACGAACGCAAGUAGCUCAGUCGCAACGGGGGCCCCCUCCAUCCCCCUCAAACGGUGUUUUCCCCCAAACGCCCCGCUGUGCAUCUGGCCCUGCUGAUGCUUCCCUUCCCUUCCCUCCCCGUGCCUUGCCCUGCCCACCGGACCAGGAGCCCUGAAGCCCCCUUACCUCCCCCCUCCCCCCUNNNNNNNNNNNNNNNNNNNNNNNNNNNNNNNNNNNNNNNNNNNNNNNNNNGCCGGGUGGAGCUCGAGCCCAGAGGCUCCAGGACUGCACCUCCACCACCUCCACCACCUCCCGGUGGGGAAUUACAGACACAGGCAGGGUUGAGGGUUGAGGGGCCAGGGGUGAAGGGCAGGGGGUGAGGGCAGGGGGUGAGGGGUAGGGUUGAGGGGUAGGGUUGAGGGGUAGGGUUGAGGGGUAGGGUUGAGGGGCCGGGUUGAGGGGCCGGGGUGAGGGGCCGGGGUGAGGGGCAGGGUGAACAACAACCGGCGCACCUAAACAACCAAAAUGAACAACCCUAAGUUAACAAUUGCAGUUAACCAGCUAACAAUCCAUAUAACGCGCCUCCUGCACCUCCUCUCCUUUUCACCCCUUGAACUCACCCACGGAGUACUGGGAAAUGCGCCUUCCGAUAACGCCGCUUCCUCCUGCGCCUCGGCUCGGCAUCGCCAUGUACAUCAGCCCUCCUCCGCCCUCACCCAGCCCCGAACUGCCGCCUUGAUGACCCGUGGACAUGGAAGUGAGGGUGGGGAUGUUCAUCAUCCCCAUCCCCAUCCCCAUCAUCCCCGCCAUAUCCUCCCCUCCCAACCCCACCUGCACCCCACCCACACCCACACCCACACCACCCGCCGCAGCUUCCAUUGCCGUUGCGGCGGCCGUGUCGAAUACGGACACCAGCCGACAGCCUGACAACGACGGCGUGUCCCUACCCACCCCGGGUGCUGCUUCUGCCAGGCCGCUGUACGGAGGCGGUUGUCCGGACGACGGUGGGGGUGCGGGGCCUGACGGGGCGGUUGGGGCUGCUGCGGCCGCCAGCUCCCCUCCAGGGGGUCGCUGGAGUGGGGGGAGGGCGGGGAGGGGUGCGGGGGGUGCGGGGAGUUGGGAAGCAGAUGCAGAUGUUGGCCUAGGGGGUAGCGGAAGGAGGGGAGUGGGGCCCAAAUAGACGGUGGUGAGGCUGCUGCCGCUGCCGCCGCCGCCGCCGCCGCCGCCGCCCGGCGGAACGGCCACGUCUGAUGCCUCCAUCGCCGCCGCUGGCGUCGCUGCUGCUGCCGCCGCCGCCGCCGCCAGGGAGUUCGUACUGACGGUGCCGGGACCGGAUGGUGGUAGUCGCGGUGAUGGGGACGGGGGGAGGACUGCAGCUGGGGACGACCUCAUCGUGCUGGUGGCGGUGGUGGUGGUGUCCGUGUGGGAGACGAGGGGUGGGGGCCGGGGGCCGGGAGGGGAAGCAGCGGCUGCUGCUGCUGCUGCUGCUGCAUGCAGCGCUGACAGAGCGUCGCACAGUUGCUUUUGCAGAGAGCGCAUCUGUACGGGCGGGGGUUACGGAUGUUGGGGGGUUAGGGUGAGGGCAGGGGAAUGGAGGUGCAUGGGGGGAAGGGGAAUACCCGGGGGGGGCCCAAAAGCGAAGGAUACAACUGCCGAUAUCCGGGGGCAAAGACGAACCCCGAGCGAGUGAAGCUGAUGCCAAGGGAAGACUGCUGCGGUAGACGUAAAGAAAGCAUACCGAACCAGUCGGCAGUUGUUCGGUGGGGGGAAGGGGGCGGGGAGGGGGGAAUCACAGGAUGCAAGGAAACAAGGAAUGGACUGCUGCCACGGCGGUGGUGGUGGUGUCCAAGAGGUCCGAAACUGCCCCUAGGGAGGGGGGGAGUCCUAAGCGGUGUGAUGUCAUCGGUCCGUGGUGGGAGGGGAGGACGGGGCGGAGGGGGAGGGCUAGUAGCUACCGGAACGAUAUGAUUUGGGUUUCCAUGAGAAGUCUCAGUCACAAACCGAAAGGACCCCUGCAAGUACGGAAAGGUAAGCUUCAUGUACGAGUAGGGCCGGUCCGGGCGCACUACCCCGAAGCGAAUAAACCCCAGGUGUACAGAACAACCUACGCUUCAGAACCUUCAGUACUCCCCCCCCCUCCCCCCUAAGUACGUAGCUCUGCGCGCAAAACCCGAAGUAACCAGCACUGUCACACCACCAUCAUGACUCACAACGCCAUGCACGCCACCAAGCCGUACAGGAUCCACUCCGAACUCCGAAUUCCCAAACAUAAAACUUAAAUUAGUUUUUGAACGUUCCGUUACGCUCUCCUAGCAAAGUACCAGGACACUACCACACGGGGGUAGGACAUGGAGGACGUCGCGACAUGACGCCAUGGACGCGGGGGCCCCCUCCUCCACCACCUUCACCUCCUCCACCCCCUUACCUGUAUCUUCAGCUGCUCCUUCUCCGCCGCACUGGCCUUCAGCUGGUGCCGCAGCAGAUCUCGCUCGUAAGUCAGCCGGCGGACCUCAAAACCCGCAGCAGUGACCGCAGCGGCGUCGGUAGCUAAGGCGGGGGGGGCGGCGGCGGCGGCGGCCGCCGCGCCAUCCGGUGCCAUCAGCACGCCCGUAGCCGCCGGAGGAGAUAUCAUCGUACUGUCUGUCGUACCCGCAAACUGUUCUGACUCCGGUUCAGCUGUUACAGCAGCACCAUCAUCACCACCAUCACCAGCAGCACCAGCAGCAGCUUCCUCCGCUGUUGCCGCGGAGGGGGUUGUCGUCCUCAGCGGGGGGGGAGUAGCCAGGUCGCCGGGUGGUGCGGCGGGUGGGCGAGAGGGCGGCUGUUGAGUGUUCAUGAUGGCGGUGAUGGUGCUGGUGGAGCUGCUGCCCCCGAUUGGCUCUCCCUCUUCUUCCUCGCUGCCGGGGGCCCGAGGAGUCAGUCGGUUGAGGGGGGGGUGGGGAAAGCGGCGUCAGUCGGGAAGCGCUUCCGGAAAUCACCAUCCACCGUCCCAUCAGGUGGCGGUGGCAGCGGCAGUGGCGGUGGUGUUGGUGGCGGUGUUGGUGGCAGUGGCAGUGGCUGAUUAUAUAGUUUGGUCGACCGAUAGAAUGACCGAGAUAGACAAAGGGUCGGGACGCCGCCGCCAAGCGCACGUCCGGAUCGCUUCCGGGACCCGCACUCACCCUCACUGUGAGAGGCCCGCCGCCCGCCGUCCAGGAGGAGGUGUUGGUGGUCCUUGAAUCCUGCUCUGCUCACAUAACAUAACAUCGCAUCACAAGCGCGUUGCGCUGACUCAGCCACUUGCGCGUCUAAGCACGCACGCACAGAAGCGUGCACGUCCUGUGCUGUUACUUUGCUAACACAAACAGAUAUACAGAUAUACACAUGCUGCUUACGAUGUAGUCUUGCUUGCUUGGGCAGCCGAAAUGCCUCCGCCGGCAGCCUCCUUCCCUUUUCCCGCCUCGAACAGAUUGCAGCUGAGCAGAGCGCAGACACACCAACGCAGAGAAGAAGAUUAUUUCUAUCUCGGCUUUUUGUCUUUCUGAGGAAGCGAAAUGACGCGCGGACAAGUCCGGAACCUGGGAAAAAAACAAAAAAUCAGAUUUGUGACCCGCGGGUCAGUUGUACCUUCAUCCCUCUCAGUGGAUGCUGCUGGUGCGGACGAUCCAUAAAGCAAUUCUUGCAGCGGAGUCAGAACGGCAGAACGACAACCCAUGAAGACGACGACGCUGUGUACCGUCCUGCAAAAGGCAUUCAUGGCCUCCAUGAACGACCUGAAGGUGAAAACAUUUAUUUCUAAUGUACAUAUGCAAUAUGGCGCACGGGAGGGCCUAACAAUGACAAAAUGGUGGCCGAAAGGGCUGGGCCCUCCUCGUCCCCCGGGAGCUUAGCGACCUCGCACACCGGUGGCAUGUCGCCUCCCAGGCAUCUUCUCGUUCCCAAAUAAACAACAGGAUACCUUUCACCGCUAGUGCACUAAGGGACCAUUUUCUUGCACUCAGGUGGCAGAGAAAGAGAAAGAAGGCGCGAUUCUAUUCAGACGGGCGGUUACAUGAGGGGUGGUCAUGAGCUAUAGGCGCUAUACCUGCUGCUACAGGCGCCGGUACCGAUUUCGGUCCGAUGAUGCGUGUUGCUGCUUUGCCAUCAAGCGCGGCGCCUGCCGCCGCCCCACACAAUUGACCAGGUCAGGGUCUUUGAGAAUGCGGGCACUUUGAUUAUUCCAGCUGGCAUUAAAAUUAUCGGGAUCGCUAAGAAUGCAGAAACGUCGCGUGGCGAUUUACAUGAUGCUUCUUCUGCUCUGCUCUGCUUUGCUCUCCUCAUUAUCGAGUUCCGCCGUUUAUCAGACUACGUCCCAUAAACAUAAGCAUCCUCAGCACAGAGGAGACUUAGAUUAGGUUCGUAUCGGGAAAGCUUAGCGCCGCGUGCGUCCGCCGUCACCGCGCCAGCCGCCGCAUGCUUUGUGCUGGGUGCGGUCGCCCCCUCCCUCGUGGGUGGCUCCUAUGUGGCACAUCACCCGACCCGCGGUACCCGAACACGCCAGCUGCUUCGAUGCCGAACAACUCUAGCCGCGUUGGAAAGAGACUUCGAAUCCUCGUAAGGAUCUGCACUUGCAAUCUGCAUUCCCACACCAACAACAUUUUGUCGUGCGGGCAUCCGAGCCCCGAUCCGCUAAUGGCACCAUAACACAGACAGUAUUUCCUUUGCUUACAUACUUCUGGCGGCGGCUGGCAGAGGUUAAGGCCUGACUUCUGCUCCCGGAGUGUCCAGGGCCAGAUCCGCCUGCCUAUUCCUGGAGUGAUUGAGGAGAGUUGAAAUGGUAGGUGGCCCCCCAUCUAGUGGAAUGUGUAGGACGUUUAAAUAUCAACUUUCUAACUGACCAUCAACUAAGUUGGGGCGCGGAUGAUCCGCCAGAUUUGGUUAUACUGAUGGUGAGUUGAUGAACCCAACGAAUACAUUCUGAAGUCGGAUGGGUUGAAUGGAAUAGGGUGCCCCUCUCGCAGGGGAGAGCAGGGAACUGCCUCGGGAAAGGGGGCCGCUGGUGAAGCUAUACCACCCUGUAACAACAUACAUACAUCUGCCACGCUGACAGGUGGAUGGAUACCUUUGUGCCAAUUAAGAAUGGUGAACACACAAUUGGGAUGCCGUCAGCAAUGUUGAAGCAGAUGUAAUUUCCAAGACUCGUCCAGCGUGGGCGUCACCGCACGGCAAUUUUUUAAUGUAAUGUAAUGUAAUGUAAUGUAAUGUAAUGUAAUGUAAUGUAAUGUAAUGUGUAAUGUAAUGUAAUGUAAUGUGUAAUGUAAUGUUACAGAGUGGGAAGCUUCUGGGCCGCUUUAUCACAUUGUCAGUUCUAGAUCAUUUAUCACCUUAUAGCACCAUCCACCACUACCACACUGUACUUCGCCAUACGAACUGUAAGUCCAAGGCGGCGGAUCCAGCCUUCGGGGACCCCUCCUCAUCCAUUCACCCGAACACCCGAAGAGACGGAGGGUUCGGCAAUCGCCACCAAUCCAGCGUGCGAAUCUGGUCCAUCAACUGUGACCUCAACUCCACAUCUCAGCAGCUAGCCAUAAUCUCGCGCUCCCGACUAAUUCGGGGGUCUCCCCAGGAAUCGAACCCAGGACCUUAAACCGCUAAUUGCAGUAGUGUCAACCCAGACCAGAAUUUUUUUAUAACUUGUACAAAAGCUAAUAAAGCUAAACCAGCUGCUUCAUUGCUUUUUAGAUGAAGAAAUCAAUGUUACAUAUUGUCGAACAUGCUAGCAAGAGGAGGGAAGGGGAAGGGGGAAAAGGCGAGGGGUGAGAAGGGAGAGAAGGAGAAGUGGGAAGGAAGGAGUCUCACAGCCAACUAGUCUCCCAGGAUCCCAAACUUUCAGGCUCCAAGAUUCUCAGGCUCCCAGGAUCCCAAGCACACAGGCCCCCAGUCUCCAAGGCCCUCUGGCCACCAGUCUUCCAGCCUCCCAGUCUCGCCGGCCCCCAGCCCCCAGUCUCCCACUCUCUCAGUCUCCCAGCCACCCAGGCUCUCUGGCUCCUAGCCUCUCGCUCAGGCUCUCCGGCCCUCAGCCCCCAGUCUCCCAAGCUCCCAGUCUCCCAAGCUCCUAGCCACCCAGGGCCUCGGGCUCCAAGGCUCUCCAAGAUCGUGCACGAAAUUGUCCCACACAACUUUAAUGAGAAGUUCAAUCCUGCCUGUAUGCCACACACACAGGGACCAUGCCAGAGCCCAGCCACAACCACUGCCACCACCGAAGGUGUGAUGAACAGUGUUGUCACCCAAGUGCAGCAGCAGGUAUGCAGUGUACCAUAACAUGUCAUUUUGAACAGAUCCUUGGAACAAACAGUGACCCGUGGGGAUGACAGCCGCUUGCUGUUGCUCUGCUGCAUCGGGAAGCCCAGAGUUGCACAGACUGUUGGGCCAUGUGAGGCGAAGUACAUCAACAUCGUGUUGGAGGGCGGCAAGGCUCAGCGGGUACGUAAUGCUACUGGGAUCCGACCAGGUCUAAGAAUACGAAUCACAAGAACCUGUUGUUGCCGUUGUAUGUAGAGUGGGCGGAAGACAGUGAUCGCAUUCUUGCGGGGCGUGACAGCGAUUAAGUGUCCAAUCAGGGCAAUGGCAGAGUACCUGUACGUCCGCUUCACGAUGGAGGGCGAGAACUAUCCAAACCCAUUGUCCUCGUCCUCCUCUUCGUCCCCCUCAUCGGCAACCUCACUGCCAGACUCACUGGACAGUUCUGAUUAUGUAUCGCUGUAGCUGUCCGUCGCCGAAGGGCCCACCGACGACCCACGGCACCCGAUCGGGCGGUCCUAGCGCCCCUAACCCUGUCGGGUCCCCCGACGGGAGCCCUCCGGGCCCCGUCGGGAGCUCCCGAUGGCCGUUUGGCAUUUUCCCCGUUUUUCGUCGGGUCCGCCCGAAAGCAUUUUUCAAAGCCUGUCGGGAUUUUCAGCACAAGUGCCAUUCCUGUCGGGACCCGAUCGGACUGUCGCACCCUGUUACCACCCGUGCCCGCUCGCGCGUGCCCGCUCGCGCGUGUAUGUUGGCCGGUUGCGAGUGUGCGGCCGCGCAUGCUACUAGGUGGCCCCGUGUGUGAGCCGCUUGGGGUGCGGCCACCCGGUUUGGUCGUGGGCGGCAUGGAGUGCCUGGUUUGGCUGUAUUCUUCUGCAGUGUAAGGGCCCUUGGCAGCUGGUCCCCGCUCCCUUUUGUUGCUCUCUCAAAGCACGUUCGUUCUGGUCAAACUUCGGCAGAGCCACGAAAAUACAGGUUAAAAGAAACAGGAGCAUGGAAACAACACAUUAUGGCACAUAAUGAAAGUUAAAUUUUAUAAAAUUUACACAUUUUUAGUUCUCCUGAACCUAUUGAUCGAUCCGGAUUGAAAUUUCACGUCUGAGGGCCUUGUGUUGUGUGGACUCAGAAUUUUUCCAUUAGCAAGUUUGUAAUUCUUAGGGAAUGUUACUCAUUUGACUCUGAUGCCCCUUCUUCUUCAUUAAGCUCCUUCCUAGGUCACGUCAGUUCUGUUGCCGCGAAACCGGCCCAACCCGCCGAGCUGCGUUAGUGGGACGAAGGGCUUUUAUCAAAUCUAACAAAAAGAAGUAUCUCAUCCCCAAGGGGGGGAUAGGAUCGCCAUCUUUCCAGACCUUGCAUUGGUCCUAAAGAUGGUUGAUGCUGCAAGUCAGGGGUUAAAAUGGUGCGGCACGCUAUCGGAUGCCAGCUGGCUGGGCCCAUUCUUAUCUCCCUGCUCCUUCGAGACAAUGUCGUCCACGCUCCUCCUUGCGACAACGCUCAUCUUGUUACUAGCCCAGGGUACCCGAUUGGCCGUGAUGCAGCAGCUAAGGGUGAAGGGACGAAUACGGAGAGGCAUUUCGGGCCUUAACGGCUCGUACAUAGCAGCUGCGCUCUUUCUGUGCGGCACACACUCAAUCCAUUUCGCUGUUGGCCUGGCGGUGCUGCGCACUUGGCCGUUUCACAUUGCCUACCAUGCCUGCUUCGCUCUCUUAUGGUGCACCAUCGCUACAUUUGCAAUCUACUCCGGACGGCUAGCUGUCGGCGUCGAUUUCCGCAUCUCCUCCAUCCCUGCGACACUGGUUUACCUUAUUAGGUGGGAUACUUUUGAAACGUGUGUACGCACGCGGUAGCCUUUAAUGUUGCGAGGGAAUCCUUUUGCCUGUCGAAGGGGGAAAUCCCCGUGCAUGUAACCUUGAACUUUUGCGUGUGUAUGCGCGUUUGUCUGUCUGUCUGUCUGCACACUCUCGUCGACGUCCACGUACAUGUCUAGGUAGAGACUCACCGUUUGCACAUGAAGCUGUUUAUGGUGCUCAAGCAUUUUGGAAAAUACGGCUAGACUUGAUGGCUUGGUCAUGGAAAUGCCCGGCUCAGUGCAGGCGUGGUUAUUACUAUGGGCCACCGAUUUAUGAAUCCAGUCAUACACUACUCCGUCUAAGCACUCUUGACAGUGGAAGUCCUAACACAGCGGUGGUCACGGCGGCGGUCCCCGACCUCCCAGCUCCUCAUACCCAUACCGCCCCGCUGCUCCACUCCACCCCGCCGCCCCCCGCCCACUGCCCCACUCGCUCCCUGCAGCCUCUACUCCUACUUCCAGCUGUACUACGACACCCACGCCAUCCCCCUGCCGUACAUCAAGGCCUCCAUUUGGACCGACAUGCUUCAGGUGGUGGUGGCGGCCAUCAUCAGUUGGUUGGGCACGAGGAGGGUCGCGCGGGAACCUAGGCUCGUGGACCUGCAGGCGCAGUUGGGCCUCAGCCCCACAUUGGGCCCAGAUGGACGAGGGCCCUACCAGCAGCUGCCCGCAGCGGAAGACGGGGGCCGUGCCGGCAGCGCCACCGCAGGCGGGAAGUCGGCGGAGGCCGGCGGGGGGGACGGUGAUGGUGGCGGCGGUGGCGACACCGACAAGAGCACUUGGAUCAGCCUGUUUGUGGACGCCUGCGCGUACGUAUGGCCCGAGUCGUUCUGGCUGCAGCUGCGCGCCGUGAUGUGUCUGCUGCUGCUGGUGGCCAUGCGAGCUCUCAACCUUGCCGUACCCAUCCUGUACAAGAAGGUUGUGGACCGUAUGGCAGAGGGGAGCAGCGGAGGUGGAGCGGCCCAGCCCGAUCAUGCAGCGGCAGCGCGGGAGGGUCGCGGCCUGGGUCUGGACCUGGGCCUGGGCCGGUUGCUGGAGUCGUGGAGGGCUGCUGGUGGUGGUGGUGGGGGUGGGGGUGGUUGGGAAGCAGGGGGCGCGGAUACCCUGAGCUACGGGGCGCUUGUGUGGCCCUGGGUGGUGCUGUACCUGGUGGCGGUGUUCUUCCAGGGCGGUGCCGGGGGCGGCGUGGUGGGCUUCAUCAACAACAUCAGGUAGGUGGAUAGGAUGGAUGGAUGGAUGGAUGAAUGCAGGCAGGCAUGUCUGGGUGGGCGGAUGGGCGGGUGUAUAUAUGAGCAUGUCGACACUCGACCGCGGGAUAACCCAUGGUCCUCACGUCCCCGUCUCCUGUCCCGCACGCCGUCCAGUCCCCGAUCCUCCCCCGGGGCCCCCCCCAGUGAAACUCUGAAUGCCGCUCCGAAUCCCGCACAGGUCCUUCCUGUGGAUCCCCGUGGCCCAGGACUCGUACAGGUGGGUGAGGGGUGAGCAGCAGUAGUGCUGGAGUCGGUGGAGGGAUGGUGGGGGAUUGGGGGAGUUGGACCCCCAGCGACCUCCCUGUCUUUCAAAUCAAUUCAAUUUUAACUACGUAACUUACGGGUGGGAUGGAGGGGUCGCGCCUCUCAGAGACCUGCUCUGCAUGCCGCCCUCAACUCUCACGAUCCGCACCCAGGGGCCGGGGGCCGGUCGGUUGACCAGUCCGGUGGUUACAAGUGUCCGGUGGUUGGCUGCAGCGAUGGCGGUGUAGGUCAUCACGCGCCAUCACGAGCUCCGCCGAUGUCGCUGAUACUGUCAAGAGAUACGGAUACUGACAUAGCUUACCGGGCUUACCCGGCCGGCCACUGCGCCUGGCUGGUUAUCGUCGCCGUAAACCUCCCCACCCCUUUCCCCGCCGCCGCAGACGCAUCAGCAUGCGCACUUUUGACCACGUGAUGGAGCUCGACCUGACCUUCCACUUGCGCAAGAAGACGGGCGAGGUGACCCGGGUGGUGGACAGGGGCACCAACGCCAUGCAGAACGUGUUGUCCACGGUGCUGUUCAACAUAUUGCCGCAGGUAGGGGAUGAUAAAGGGCAGGUAGGGAAGUGGGAGGUGAUAGGUGGUAGGGGACCUCAGUGGGUCGUCGGGAAGGAGUGCUGUGCGCUCAUGACUAGCUUCCGGGUGGCAGGCUGAGGGGGCUUUAAGAGGGGCGGGGCAGAAUCCACUGGAUGGUACUGGUGGUGCUGUUGGUGGUGAUGUGGCUGAAUGAACUCGGAAAAGUCCCUCACUGACUACUCACUGACAGAGGUCGGCACUCUCACACACACACACGGGUGGUGGCCAUGAUGAUGAUGAUGAGGGGGAUGAGGGUGAGGUUACCCGGGGAAGGAGGCCACAUCACGGAUGGGUGGGUGGGGACGGUGGGGACUGCCAGCAUGCUCGUCCAGGGUGGCCACCACCAUAGGUUGGAAAGCCCCUCUGUGUAACCCAUAUAUACACCCCCCCUACUUCACACACAAUCACUUCAGGGAGGCGCCUUUGAGCUGUGAACGGUUGAACACCCGACACAGUCGUCGCCGUCGCGCCUCGCUUGCCGCCCAACCCCUCACCCCCCCCACCCCACCCCAUCCCCCAUUCCUGACCUGACUUGGACUAUCCGUCUACCCCUGGUUUCUGCUUCAAUUGUCAAAGGUUCGUCUUACCCCUACCCCUCUACCCCUACCCCUCUACCCCUACCCCUCUACCCCUACCCCUCUACCCCUACCCCUCUACCCCUCUACCCCUACCCCUACCCCUCUACCCCUACCCCUCUACCCCUACCCCUGACCUCACCUCAUCUGAUCUGACACUGCGCUGUCUUUUCCAGCUGUCCCCACCUCCCAACCAUGUGUGUAAGUGUGUAUAUGUAUGUAUGUGUGUGCCUCCCGGAUGAGCUGCCCACCUCCAGAUAUUCGACGUGCUUGCGGCCGCCACGUACCUGGCUCAGGCGCUUGAACCCACCAUCGCCAUCAUCGUGUUUGUCACCGUGGGCUCCUACAUACCCCUGACCGUCUUCAUCACGGAGUGGCGGGCCAAGCUGAGGAGGGAGAUGAACCAGACGGACCAGGUAGCGGGGGGAGGAGGCUUACUGGGGGGAAGGAGGGAUCGCCGAGUUGUCCUUGAAAACACUAACGGGAACCAAAUUCCUGCUCCGGCUGCUCCUGCUCCCGCUGCUGCUGCUGCUGCUGCUGCUGCUGCUGCUGCUCUCACCCCGCUCCACCCCGGGGCCCCAUCUGUAGGUGAAGAGCGGGCGGGCCACGGAUGCGCUGCUGAACUACGAAACCGUCAAAUACUUCUGCAACGAGAAGUACGUGCGGAGGGUUACGGGGGUGGGGGAGCGUGGGAGGGAUUUGGGGAGGUGGACGGGAAGGGGGGGAGGGGUUUACGGGGCGGAUGCGGAUGUACCCAGAAAUACCUGCUGUAUCCCCGGACUGGAGGGCGCUGGGGGGGCUGAGCGGCUCCCGGGCUCCUGCGGUGGCGGCCGGAGCAGUGGGCCCAGCGGGAAGGGGGGGGGGCAGGGUGAGCCCGCCCUCCAGCCCCUCUCCGCAUCGCACCGGACAACAUAUGACUGACUGCUCUGAGCCCGGAAGCAGAGUCCGCUUCCGGGCCCCGUUCCUCCUCCGCUUUGGCGCCAACCUGAGUGCGCCAACUGCCCCCUCCCGUCAGUUCUACGUCUGGUACACUCUUGCCCUGGCAGCAGCUUCACUCGUUCGUUUCCCCUCCCGUCCUGCCCCCCACUCCCUACACCUACUUCUUUACGGAUUGGCUAUACUAUUCCGCUUUUUUAGUUCUGGCGGCUUAGGUAAUUAGUUUUUCCGACAUCUUCUUCACUUCGUCAUCCCGAGGUCACGGUCGCCACGGACACCUUUCGGUCAUUUCUGCGUUUGUUACUCGCUUGCCCUGGCAGCAGCUUCAAUAGUGUGUGGCUCGUCUUUCCCCCCACUCCCCUACCCCCCAGGCACGAGUCGCAGCAGUACGCCUCCGCCAUUGCUGCCUAUCAGUCCGCGGAGUUCAAGUCCAUGUCCUCCAUCAACAUGCUCAACGUGGUGCAGUCCGCCAUCAUGUUCUGCGGCAUUGCCUCGGGACUGCUGGUGUGCGCGGGUAGGAGGGGGUUGUGGCGUGCGCGGGUAGGAGGGGUUGUAGGAGGGCUUAGAGGGUUGGGUUGCAUCAGUGCCCCCCCCUCCCCUGGGUGCAAGAGGCGAGGAGGCGGCGGCACGUGGGCGAGGACCUUGCCCCUGGAACUGGUUAGGGGGGCUGGCUGACUGCCGGGCUGAAGCCCCGGCCCAUACAUACAUACAUACAUACAUACAUACAUACAUACAUACAUACAUACAUACAUACAUAUAUAUAUACAUACAUACGUCCUCUAUGUCGCAUACCCAGGUGGUGUGUCCGCCCACGUGCUGACGGUGGGAGAUGCGGUGCUGUUCCUCAGCCUUAUGGCCCAGCUGUACGGACCACUCAACUUCUUCGGGUCGUACUAUCGUACCAUUCAGCAGUACAUGGUGAGUGUCGGCGCGCAUGUGUGUGUGUGUGGUAGUGUUCUUGGAGGCGGCAACGCCGUACGUCAGUACUGCCACGACCACACCGUGGUACAGAGGCCGCCUCUGUACCUUAGAACUACCGGGGACUGUGUUCACCCCCCUCCCCCUGGCAGCAGCUUCACUCGUUCGUGGUUCGUCGUUCCCCCCUUCUCCCCCCUUCUCCCCCCUCCCUCAGAUCGACAUGGAGAACCUGAUGGAGCUGCUCGAGCGGCGGUCGGUGGUGGAGGAGAGCCCGGCGGCCCGGGAGCUGGUGGUGACUCAGGGUAGGUGGGGGUAUUGUACGAAAUGAGGGGGGAAGGGGGGGAGGGAGGGGGGGUGGGGGGAGGGAGGAGGGGAGGGAGGGGGGGAGGGAGGGGGGGUGGGAGGGGGUGGGAGGGGGAAGGUGCGUUCAGUGUGUGUGUGUGCGUGUGUGUGUGUGUGUGUGUGUUCUCCCUCGCUCCCUCCGGUUGCCCCUCAACACAUUAUAAUAAACCACAUCACAUGUUGCCCCGCUCACCCCCGCACGCUCUUCCAGGCGAGCUGGUGUUUGAUGACGUGUCUUUCCAGUACGACCGGGGGAAUCUGGUGCUGCGCCGCGUGAGCUUCCGGGUGCCCGGGGGGAGGACCGUCGCGUUCGUGGGGGCGACUGGCAGCGGCAAGUCCACCAUCACCAGGCUCAUAUUCAGGUGGGGGGGAGGGGUAAGGGGGGGGAUGCCCGUAUGUCUUAAUGAUCUGAGUGUUGCGAUGAUGGAAAUGCCAAGGAGGGUGCACGUGUUCGUAUGUAUGUAUGUCUAUGUGUCCUUGGUGGCGCCGUAGAGUGCUGCAGCCGGCCAGGGGUUUCCACCCCUCCGCUGAGCCCUCCCUCCCCCCCGGGGCCAUAUCGGGGUGAGGGGACUGAGCGGCUGCUCCGUGUACACACAUACACAUACACACACUUCCCCCCCACCCCCGGGUGCCCCCUCAGGUUCUACGACGUGUCCUCCGGGGCUAUCCGUGUGGACGGUCAGGACGUGCGGGAGGUGACCCAGGCCUCGCUGAGGAGGGCGGUGGGCAUGGUGCCGCAGGUGGGGGUGAGGGUGGGGGUGGGGGGCCCUCGCCGGGACAUACAUACACACGUACAUACAUACGUACAUACUUGCAUGGGGGAGUAAGCUGAGUUCGUUGCCUUGUGCUCGGCACCCGCCGCCAGCUGCCCGUGUGGUGUGCUGUGGCAUGGCGCUGCUAGUGGGCGGUGGGGGGAGAAGGAAGGAAGUCACCGCCACCCCCAACCCCCACAAGCCUGCACGGCACACGGCGGGGCGGGGUGGGGUGGGGGAGUUGUUGACGGCUCGCCGGAGAGUCGCUCUGCAUUAGGACCAGGUGAAGUUUAUGUGUAUGUGUAUGUGUAUGUAUGUCAGAAGUGAAGUCCAUCCGCGUCAGACAUACGUACAUACACUUACACCCACAUACAUGCAUGCAUACAUACGCAUAUGUACGCACACAUACAUACUCCAAUUUCCUGCUCAGAUUUUAACAUCACCCACACCCACCCACACACACACACCCCUUGCUAUGCUCCGCAGGACACGGUGCUGUUCAACGACACCAUCAUGCACAACAUCCGGUACGGCAAGUUGUCGGCCACAGAUGAAGAGGUGCGCGUGCCGUGAAGUCAGAUGUGGGCUCCUGUGGGGCUGUGUGUGUGUGUGUGGUGGGUUGGAGACUUCCGCCCGCCCGCCCUAUGUAUGUACGUAUGUAUGUAUGUUGUUACAGGGUGGUUAACUUCGCCAGCGGCCCCCUUUCCCGGGGCAGUCCCUGCUCUCCCCUGCUAGAGGGGCACCCUAAUCCGUCACCCCAUCCGACUUCAGAAUGUAUUCGUUGGGUUCGGCAACUCACCACCAGCAUCCAACCAAAUCUAGCGGAUCAACGGCGCAUCAACUUAGUUCCUGGUUAGCUCGCAAGUUGAUUUUAUCACGUCCUACAUCGUCCAUAUGAUGG